RNAcentral lists this ribosomal RNA (887 nucleotides) under Crepidotus applanatus. RNAcentral's name for it is "partial large subunit ribosomal RNA". It matches the Rfam family "Eukaryotic large subunit ribosomal RNA", at positions 35 to 906 of the family's 3401-position model. The record is from RNAcentral. Lineage: Eukaryota; Fungi; Basidiomycota; Agaricomycetes; Agaricales; Crepidotaceae.
UAAGCAUAUCAAUAAGCGGAGGAAAAGAAACUAACAAGGAUUCCCCUAGUAACUGCGAGUGAAGCGGGAAAAGCUCAAAUUUAAAAUCUGGCAGUCUCUGAUUGUCCGAGUUGUAAUCUAGAGAAGUGUUACCCGCGUUGGACCGUGUAUAAGUCUCCUGGAAUGGAGCGUCAUAGAGGGUGAGAAUCCCGUCUUUAACACGGACUACCAAGGCUUUGUGGUGCGCUCUCAAAGAGUCGAGUUGUUUGGGAAUGCAGCUCAAAAUGGGUGGUAAAUGCCAUCUAAAGCUAAAUACAGGCGAGAGACCGAUAGCGAACAAGUACCGUGAGGGAAAGAUGAAAAGAACUUUGGAAAGAGAGUUAAACAGUACGUGAAAUUGCUGAAAGGGAAACGCUUGAAGUCAGUCGCGUUGGCUGGGAAUCAACCUUGCUUUUGCUUUGGUGUACUUUCCAGUCGACGGGUCAACAUCAAUUUUGAUCGGUGGAUAAGGUCGUGAGGAAUGUGGCAUCUUCGGAUGUGUUAUAGCCUUGUGUCAUAUACAUUGAUUGGGAUUGAGGAACUCAGCACGCCGAAAGGCCAGGUUUCGACCAUGUUCGUGCUUAGGAUGUUGGCAAAAUGGCUUUAAUCGACCCGUCUUGAAACACGGACCAAGGAGUCUAACAUGCCUGCGAGUGUUUGGGUGGAAAACCCGAGCGCACAAUGAAAGUGAAAGUUGAGAUCCCUGUCGUGGGGAGCAUCGACGCCCGGACCAGACCUUUUGUGACGGAUCCGCGGUAGAGCAUGUAUGUUGGGACCCGAAAGAUGGUGAACUAUGCCUGAAUAGGGUGAAGCCAGAGGAAACUCUGGUGGAGGUACCGUAGCGAUUCUGAGCGUGCAAAUCGAUCGUA